GCAGGAGUAGCUCAGUUGGUAGAGCUUCUCGUUGCCAACGAGAAGGUCGCGGGUUCGAGUCCCGUCUCCUGCUCCA
This 76-nucleotide transfer RNA is filed under the name bacterium. RNAcentral's name for it is "tRNA-Gly". It matches the Rfam family "tRNA". Rfam says of the family: Transfer RNA (tRNA) molecules are approximately 80 nucleotides in length. The record is from RNAcentral. RNAcentral also lists the same sequence under 1 other name.